This 556-nucleotide ribosomal RNA is filed under the name Bacillus sp. B8(2012). RNAcentral's name for it is "bacterial SSU rRNA". It matches the Rfam family "Bacterial small subunit ribosomal RNA", at positions 337 to 884 of the family's 1533-position model. Lineage: Bacteria; Bacillati; Bacillota; Bacilli; Caryophanales; Bacillaceae. The record is from RNAcentral.
UCCUACGGGAGGCAGCAGUAGGGAAUCUUCCGCAAUGGACGAAAGUCUGACGGAGCAACGCCGCGUGAGUGAUGAAGGCUUUCGGGUCGUAAAACUCUGUUGUUAGGGAAGAACAAGUACAAGAGUAACGUCUUGUACUUUGACGGUACCUAACCAGAAAGCCACGGCUAACUACGUGCCAGCAGCCGCGGUAAUACGUAGGUGGCAAGCGUUAUCCGGAAUUAUUGGGCGUAAAGCGCGCGCAGGCGGUUUUUUAAGUCUGUUGUGAAAGCCCACGGCUCAACCGUGGAGGGUCAUUGGAAACUGGGGAACUUGAGUGCAGAAGAGAAAAGCGGAAUUCCACGUGUAGCGGUGAAAUGCGUAGAGAUGUGGAGGAACACCAGUGGCGAAGGCGGCUUUUUGGUCUGUAACUGACGCUGAGGCGCGAAAGCGUGGGGAGCAAACAGGAUUAGAUACCCUGGUAGUCCACGCCGUAAACGAUGAGUGCUAAGUGUUAGAGGGUUUCCGCCCUUUAGUGCUGCAGCUAACGCAUUAAGCACUCCGCCUGGGGAGUACG